UGAGUGUCUUCAAGCUUUCAUCUUAUUAAAGGAAGGAGAGUUGAUAAACUUUAAAGAGUCAAAAUUGACUUUAAGUUCACAUUACCACCUCCCAUCAUAUAGCAAAACAAUACAAAAAAACUUAACUUCUUUAAGCAAGUCAUGAAAUACAUCACAAUGGAAUCAGAACAAACAACUAGAACCUAUGAAAACUAUUUUGAUGCCUCAAAAGGAAAAGUAUCCACUGGACUCUCAUUAGAACAAUCUACUCAGUAGCUUCCACGUGUUUCGCGGCAUCAGCUUCUUUCAGCCUUUCCAAAGUAGAAAUGCGACCAUUAAGAGAUUCAUAGACAUCAUUCAUCUGGUGAGACAUGGCAUGAUGGGCAGUUUGGUAAUCCUUGUGGAGAAGGUAGAGACCGCCGGCCGAUGCCACAGCAGCACCGGCGAAGAAGGCUGCAAAUCUGACCCUUAAAACGUACCCCAUUUUUUCUGAAUCUGCUUUCACUGCCACUCUUUACGAUGUUGG
Molecule: unclassified non-coding RNA, 505 nt
Filed under: Hevea brasiliensis (rubber tree)
Lineage: Eukaryota; Viridiplantae; Streptophyta; Magnoliopsida; Malpighiales; Euphorbiaceae
Source: RNAcentral